UCACCAGUGCUGGUUGUACUCGGUGAAUAUCACGACGACUUGUACGACUAUAACCGCCUCUGGGUCGUACCUUGCUGUUAACAUUACGACCUCUACCAUCACGCUGCCUCGGGGUCGUACUGCAGGUCGUAGAUAAAAGCAUCAGAUUUGAUGACUAGCCUUCCUGAUCUCCCUCAUCCACAUACAGCACCACAGACUCCUCGGCCACAGCUGGAGGACAACGAGAAAGUGCAUUAAAUAAUCAAUGGCAGCAGCGGAACACACCUGUCGCCUCCAAACCGACUG
Homarus americanus (American lobster) is the source of this 285-nucleotide long non-coding RNA. RefSeq lists it as uncharacterized. The record is from RefSeq and is a predicted model, not a curated record. NCBI's taxonomy places the organism in Eukaryota, Metazoa, Arthropoda, Malacostraca, Decapoda, Nephropidae. The transcript is spliced from 3 exons.